This 253-nucleotide ribosomal RNA is filed under the name uncultured bacterium. RNAcentral's name for it is "partial 16S ribosomal RNA". It matches the Rfam family "Bacterial small subunit ribosomal RNA", at positions 524 to 776 of the family's 1533-position model. The record is from RNAcentral.
UACGAAGAGAGCUAGCGUUGUUCGGAAUCACUGGGCGUAAAGCGCACGUAGGCGGAUUUGUAAGUCAGGGGUGAAAUCCCGGGGCUCAACCUCGGAACUGCCUUUGAUACUGCAAAUCUCGAGUCCGGAAGAGGUGGGUGGAAUUCCUAGUGUAGAGGUGAAAUUCGUAGAUAUUAGGAAGAACACCGGUGGCGAAGGCGGCCCACGGGUUCGGUACUGACUCUGAGGUGCGAAAGCGUGGGGAGCAAACAGG